RNAcentral lists this ribosomal RNA (486 nucleotides) under uncultured bacterium. RNAcentral's name for it is "partial 16S ribosomal RNA". It matches the Rfam family "Bacterial small subunit ribosomal RNA", at positions 30 to 507 of the family's 1533-position model. The record is from RNAcentral.
AUUGAACGCUGGCGACAUGCCUUACACAUGCAAGUCGAACGGCAGCACGGGUGCUUGCACCUGGUGGCGAGUGGCGAACGGGUGAGUAAUACAUCGGAACAUGUCCUGCAGUGGGGGAUAGCCCGGCGAAAGCCGGAUUAAUACCGCAUACGAUCUACGGAUGAAAGCGGGGGACCUUCGGGCCUCGCGCUAUAGGGUUGGCCGAUGGCUGAUUAGCUAGUUGGUGGGGUAAAGGCCUACCAAGGCGACGAUCAGUAGCUGGUCUGAGAGGACGACCAGUCACACUGGGACUGAGACACGGCCCAGACUCCUACGGGAGGCAGCAGUGGGGAAUUUUGGACAAUGGGCGAAAGCCUGAUCCAGCAAUGCCGCGUGUGUGAAGAAGGCCUUCGGGUUGUAAAGCACUUUUGUCCGGAAAGAAAUCCUUGGCCCUAAUACGGUCGGGGGAUGACGGUACCGGAAGAAUAAGCACCGGCUAACUACGUG